Molecule: ribosomal RNA, 497 nt
Filed under: uncultured bacterium
Lineage: Bacteria
Description: partial 16S ribosomal RNA
Rfam family: Bacterial small subunit ribosomal RNA
Source: RNAcentral
GAUGAACGCUGGCGGCGUGCCUAAUACAUGCAAGUCGAGCGAACGGACGAGAAGCUUGCUUCUCUGAUGUUAGCGGCGGACGGGUGAGUAACACGUGGAUAACCUACCUAUAAGACUGGGAUAACUUCGGGAAACCGGAGCUAAUACCGGAUAAUAUUUUGAACCGCAUGGUUCAAAAGUGAAAGACGGUCUUGCUGUCACUUAUAGAUGGAUCCGCGCUGCAUUAGCUAGUUGGUAAGGUAACGGCUUACCAAGGCAACGAUGCAUAGCCGACCUGAGAGGGUGAUCGGCCACACUGGAACUGAGACACGGUCCAGACUCCUACGGGAGGCAGCAGUAGGGAAUCUUCCGCAAUGGGCGAAAGCCUGACGGAGCAACGCCGCGUGAGUGAGGAAGGUCUUCGGAUCGUAAAACUCUGUUAUUAGGGAAGAACAUAUGUGUAAGUAACUGUGCACAUCUUGGCGGUACCUAAUCAGAAAGCCACGGCUAACUACGUG